AUUCCCACCUCCAAUUAAAACACAUUGGCAUCAGUAUGAAGGAUGAGCAUAUACAAGGCAUGACUAUAAAGUAAUGAGACUGAUCCUGCACACAAACACCAGUCUCAUUACUUUAUAGUCACACCCUGUAUCUUAAAGAUCUCCAGUCAU
Sarcophilus harrisii (Tasmanian devil) is the source of this 150-nucleotide microRNA precursor. Ensembl annotates it as sha-mir-340. Its record names the gene sha-mir-340. The record is from Ensembl. NCBI's taxonomy places the organism in Eukaryota, Metazoa, Chordata, Mammalia, Dasyuromorphia, Dasyuridae.